Molecule: long non-coding RNA, 373 nt
Filed under: Gossypium barbadense (sea-island cotton)
Lineage: Eukaryota; Viridiplantae; Streptophyta; Magnoliopsida; Malvales; Malvaceae
Description: long non-coding RNA (GBAR_LNC002116)
Source: RNAcentral
GAAAUUCGUUAAUGGUACAUUUUAAUGGUACAUUUUCCCCUAUAUUAUGUUUGUAUCGUGCCGGGUAUAUGAAAACAAAUAGAUGGUCACAAGGAUUGUCUUACAUUUUAUUCUGAUACACGAUACUAAUUUAAUGACAUACAUAUCAAUUAGAUCGACAAAUGAAUCAACAAAAUCCUCUUAUUUGAACUCUAAAAUUUUCUCUUUUGUAGAAAUCUCUCACUCUUUUGUAUCCCUAUACGAAUCAAAUCGAAACCCGGAUUGAUUAAUUUUAUUUGAAAAAAAAAUGAUAAAGUUCAUAACGAACUUAAAAUCAUCGUGUAUAUCAAAAUGACUGGUAUUAUUAUUACUGAUCAGUAAAAUUCACAUUUAC